CCUACGGGAGGCAGCAGUGAGGAAUAUUGGUCAAUGGACGGGAGCCUGAACCAGCCAAGCCGCGUGAGGGAUGAAGGUACAGCGUAUUGUAAACCUCUUUUGUCAGGGGACAAAGUCGGGCACUAGUCCCCUGAUGAGGGUACCUGAAGAAAAAGCAUCGGCUAACUCCGUGCCAGCAGCCGCGGUAAUACGGGGGAUGCGAGCGUUAUCCGGAUUUAUUGGGUUUAAAGGGUGCGGAGGCGGCCCUUUAAGUCAGCGGUAAAAGCCAGGGGCUAAACCCAGGCGAGCCGUUGAAACUGGGGGGCUGGAGUUGGAGAGAAGUACGCGGAAUGCGCGGUGUAGCGGUGAAAUGCUUAGAUAUCGCGAAGAACCCCGAUUGCGAAGGCAGCGUACCGGCUCCACACUGACGCUGAGGCACGAAAGCGUGGGUAUCGAACAGGAUUAGAUACCCUGGUAGUC
RNAcentral lists this ribosomal RNA (459 nucleotides) under uncultured bacterium. RNAcentral describes it as "partial 16S ribosomal RNA". It matches the Rfam family "Bacterial small subunit ribosomal RNA", at positions 338 to 795 of the family's 1533-position model. The record is from RNAcentral.